UACGAGUACCUCAAGCGUUAUCCGGAAUUACUGGGCGUAAAGCGUCUGUAGGGGGUUUUGAUAGUCCCGUGUUAAAUGUUCGGGCUCAACCUGAACGCUGCGCGGGAUACUUCAAGACUAGAGAGUGUGAGGGGCUGACGGAACUUACGGUGUAGGGGUGAAAUCCGUUGAUAUCGUAAGGAACACCAAAAGCGAAAGCAGUCAGCUGGCGCAAUUCUGACCCUGAGAGACGAAAGCGUGGGGAGCAAAAAGG
RNAcentral lists this ribosomal RNA (253 nucleotides) under uncultured bacterium. Its description in RNAcentral is "partial 16S ribosomal RNA". It matches the Rfam family "Bacterial small subunit ribosomal RNA", at positions 524 to 776 of the family's 1533-position model. The record is from RNAcentral.